RNAcentral lists this ribosomal RNA (206 nucleotides) under uncultured bacterium. RNAcentral describes it as "partial 16S ribosomal RNA". It matches the Rfam family "Bacterial small subunit ribosomal RNA", at positions 1295 to 1500 of the family's 1533-position model. The record is from RNAcentral.
GGAUUGUAGUCUGCAACCCGACUACAUGAAGCUGGAAUCGCUAGUAAUCGCGAAUCAGAAUGUCGCGGUGAAUACGUUCCCGGGUCUUGUACACACCGCCCGUCACACCAUGGGAGUCGGAAAUGCCCGAAGUCAGUGACCCAACCGUAAGGAGGGAGCUGCCGAAGGUGGAGCCGGUAACUGGGGUGAAGUCGUAACAAGGUAUC